UUUAAAUUACAUUUUUUAUAUAAUAUAUAAUAUUAAUUUUUAGAUAUUAAGGUUUUUUAAUAUCUUUUUGGCUAAUUUGCAUAAAAAAUUCACUUAUUUUAGAUUUUUGCAAAAUCGGGUCAUCUUUUUCAUUUUUGCAGAUUCGGUCCGUUUUUUCAGCAAACUGACCAAAAUACCCUUUUUACUUUUUCUCUUUCCUCUUUCUCUCUCCUCUUCGUUUCUCUCGUUCUUUUUUUUCCCUCGCCGGCAGAGGGGAGGCGGAAACGGUCCGUCUCGCCUCUCACCCUCAUUCUCUCGCCUUCGC
This 304-nucleotide long non-coding RNA is filed under the name Ananas comosus (pineapple). Its description in RNAcentral is "long non-coding RNA (ACOM_LNC022052)". The record is from RNAcentral. Lineage: Eukaryota; Viridiplantae; Streptophyta; Magnoliopsida; Poales; Bromeliaceae.